UCCUUUUUCCUUCCUCCCUUCUUCUUCCUUCCUUCUUUCCUUUGUCCUUCCUUCCUUCCUUCCUCCUUCCUUCUUUCCUUUCUCCCAUCCAUCCAUCCAUCUACAGAAGCAAAUGCCAACACCCAAGAAGUGGUGAAAAUCCAGCACAGCCUCCUAGAGAGAUCUCUGUACUACAUGGAAUAAAGAAAAACCAAUCUAAUACACGUUUGUAAAGAAGAAGGAAAAAUUCAAAACAAAAUGCUACGUUAAAAGCUGAUAUCUUACGUGCUUUCGUGACCUUCCAUUUUUUUACUUUUUUUUUUCCUUUAACCUCUGCAGGUCAGUGAUCCUCUAAAGAAAAAAGGAAAG
Felis catus (domestic cat) is the source of this 348-nucleotide long non-coding RNA. RefSeq lists it as uncharacterized. The record is from RefSeq and is a predicted model, not a curated record. The transcript is spliced from 2 exons. Lineage: Eukaryota; Metazoa; Chordata; Mammalia; Carnivora; Felidae.